Molecule: long non-coding RNA, 1113 nt
Organism: Panthera uncia (snow leopard)
Lineage: Eukaryota; Metazoa; Chordata; Mammalia; Carnivora; Felidae
Exons: 3
Source: RefSeq, a predicted model, not a curated record
CCAACCUUGGAGUGAGACAUUGGGGGAAGGGCCUCUUCCUUGUGGGGGUCUCAGUUUCUCCCUCCGUGAAAUGGGCAGGUUUGAUUGGAGCUGGAGAAUCUCUUCCAAAUGCCAGGGUCAUGCAGUCCUGUGGAGCCUUAGCAGGGAGGGAUGAAGGGUGAGAUCGUGGCCUCGGCGGUGAUGGGAGGGGUGGCUGUGGCAGGAGGCUGAGUCAGAGGCACUGUCAGGGCUGAGAGCAAGGGAACAGACCUGCCUCUAGUGCCCAGUGACUUGCAAGCCACAGGAGGGGAGCAGCCUGUGUCAUCAGCGAGCCUGUAAACACCCUCCAAGGACAGCAAGGCCCCUGCUUGUCUUGGAUCCGACCACAGGCCCAUCCCAGAGAUUUGGGGCCAGAGACCGGUGAAUUUCUCGAACACGCAAUUCUCUUCCUGCCUCUCCAGGACUGUGCACAGGCUGUUCCCUCCACCUGGAAUGUUCUCUCCCUUUCUCCAGGCUUCACCAAGAUAACGCUUCCGGCUGGUUCCAAUUUUGGCUCAAGGAUCACCUCCUUCUCUGUUCUUCCAGCAAAGGCAGACGAGAAGGCUGGCGCUGUGGCCUCCACCUUGGAUCAUGAGGAGGGUCACACCCUAAGGACGGCAGAGUUGUGACCAGGAAGGAGCCUGGGACAGCUUUGUGGAGUCUUCAAACCAGCCCUGAACUGCCUACAUCUGGACUUCAUUCACACGAGAGAAAAAUAAACACUUUUGUUUAUUGUUGAUUUUUAAAAUUCAAUUUAUUAUAUGUUAUUUUGACUAUAUUUGUAUGUCCUAACAGCAUGCUCUACUGCAAAACGUCAGCUAGAGUACAUGCUGCAUCUUUUUAUCUUAAAAUGUGCUCGAUAUGUCUUUAUCUACUUUGUCCAGAGGGUUGUUUUUUUUAAGUGUAUUUAUUUAUUUUGAGAGGGCCAGAGGCAGUGCGAGUGGGGGAGGGGCAGAGAGAGAGGGAGACAGAGGGUUCGAAGCAGGCUCCACACCAUCAGCACAGAGCCGGACGUGGGGCUCGAACUCACGAACCGUGAGAUCGCGACCUGAGCCGAAACCAAGAGUUGGACGCUGAACCGACUGAGCCACCCAG